This is a long non-coding RNA of Phragmites australis (common reed), 895 nucleotides long. RefSeq lists it as uncharacterized. The transcript is spliced from 3 exons. The record is from RefSeq and is a predicted model, not a curated record. NCBI's taxonomy places the organism in Eukaryota, Viridiplantae, Streptophyta, Magnoliopsida, Poales, Poaceae.
CAGCGACGACAAGUGAGGGUCUCCGGCCACCGAGAGAGCAAGAGAGAACCACAUCAAGAUGUUGUCGCGGUCUGCUCAUCCAGGGCAUGGGUGCGACGAAGGUCGCGUGUGGCUCUGUUGAGCAUAUUUGCGGUGGCAGACUUGACGAUGCGCACGGCAAAAGGAAGUGCACGUCGGCGAAGCUCCAAGUCGCAUAUGAAAGAAAACGGCAAUAGCAAGGAGAUGGAGCCAUCGGCGUUUCAAAAACCCACGCGCAACAGAGACGAAGGAGGACGAUGUGCAGGAGAAGAUGCGGGAAUUAGCUCCGGCGACCUCAACGACAACAUUUAUAUGCGAAAACACAAGGCAUCCCAAUUCAAGAGCCAAGCAUCCCGCUGAAGGAAUCCAUCACGAUGGUGCGGCAAACUCCGAUCAUAAAGCCUAUGCUUUCUGCCAAUGAAGUGACUCCAUGGCCUGUGCUGGGGCACCUGUGAAUUAUGUGAUCAGUGACAUAGGAUCACUCGCCCUGCUACUCGCUAGGAUACCAUGCAACCCCAGCAGAUUUACCGGCUACUUGGAAUUUUAAAGUACACCGUUGUAGAACUCUUGGAAGCUUAUCUUAAUGGGGCGCACCUCACUAUAUUCCAUGCGACAUCGAACCUGUGCAAGUCUGUUAAACCUUUGUCAUAGCAUUAUUGUUCAAGUACCAGCCUUGGGAACCAAAGAAAGAGCAAGCCUCCUCCUCCCUGAGUACAUGUACAUUUGGGGACAACAGCUAGAUUGUCAACUGAGAUUGUUUGUAAACUGAGAUUGUCAAACUGAGAAUGUUAUGUUGUCAGCUAGAUUCAUGUUGUAAACUGAGAUUGUCAUGUUGUAAAUUGAAGAUUAUGUUGUUAAUAUAAUUUCCAGUUUACAG